GCUUGUCUCAAAGAUUAAGCCAUGCAUGUCUAAGUAUAAAUGUUAUACAGUGAAACUGCGAAUGGCUCAUUAAAACAGUUAUAGUUUAUUUGAUAUUCGAACACUACAUGGAUAACCGUGGUAAUUCUAGAGCUAAUACAUGCUUUCAAGCCCGACUCUUAGGAAGGGCUGUAUUUAUUAGAUAACAAACCAAUAUUCCUUGCGUCUAUUGUGAUGACUCAUAAUAACUGAUCGAAUCGCAUGGACCUUGUCCGCGAUACGUCAUUCAAGUUUCUGCCCCAUCAGCUUUCGAUGGUAGUGUAUUGGACUACCAUGGCUUUAACGGGUAACGGAGGAUUAGGGUUCGAUUCCGGAGAGGGAGCCUGAGAAACGGCUACCACAUCUAAGGAAGGCAGCAGG
This 399-nucleotide ribosomal RNA is filed under the name Meseres corlissi. RNAcentral describes it as "partial small subunit ribosomal RNA". It matches the Rfam family "Eukaryotic small subunit ribosomal RNA", at positions 30 to 432 of the family's 1831-position model. Lineage: Eukaryota; Ciliophora; Spirotrichea; Sporadotrichida; Halteriidae. The record is from RNAcentral.